This 156-nucleotide unclassified non-coding RNA is filed under the name uncultured Cladosporium. RNAcentral's name for it is "sequence contains ITS1". The record is from RNAcentral. Lineage: Eukaryota; Fungi; Ascomycota; Dothideomycetes; Cladosporiales; Cladosporiaceae.
CAAGUGACCCCGGUUUACCACCGGGAUGUUCAUAACCCUUUGUUGUCCGACUCUGUUGCCUCCGGGGCGACCCUGCCUUCGGGGCGGGGGGCUCCGGGUGGACACUUCAAACUCUUGCGUAACUUUGCAGUCUGAGUAAACUUAAUUAAUAAAUUA